This 279-nucleotide ribosomal RNA is filed under the name uncultured Lachnospiraceae bacterium. Its description in RNAcentral is "partial 16S ribosomal RNA". It matches the Rfam family "Bacterial small subunit ribosomal RNA", at positions 57 to 339 of the family's 1533-position model. The record is from RNAcentral. Lineage: Bacteria; Bacillati; Bacillota; Clostridia; Lachnospirales; Lachnospiraceae.
UUGAGGAAGUCUUCGGAUGGAAUUGAUAAGUUCUAGCGGCGGACGGGUGAGUAACGCGUGGGUAACCUGCCUCAUACAGGGGGAUAACAGUUAGAAAUGGCUGCUAAUACCGCAUAAGACCACAGUACUGCAUGGUACAGUGGUAAAAACUCCGGUGGUACAGGAUGGUCCCGCGUCUGAUUAGCCAGUUGGCAGGGUAACGGCCCACCAAGCCGACGAUCGGUAGCCGACCUGAGAGGGUGAUCGGCCACAUUGGGACUGAGACACGGCCCAAACUCC